RNAcentral lists this transfer RNA (73 nucleotides) under Bos taurus (domestic cattle). It matches the Rfam family "tRNA". From Rfam's summary of the family: Transfer RNA (tRNA) molecules are approximately 80 nucleotides in length. Their secondary structure includes four short double-helical elements and three loops (D, anti-codon, and T loops). Lineage: Eukaryota; Metazoa; Chordata; Mammalia; Artiodactyla; Bovidae. RNAcentral also lists the same sequence under 1 other name. The record is from Rfam by way of RNAcentral.
UCUCUGGUGGUCCAGUGGUUAGGGAUCUAGGCUUUCAUUGCCAAGGACCCAGGUUCAAUCCCUGGUUGGGGAA